Molecule: long non-coding RNA, 1585 nt
Organism: Medicago truncatula (barrel medic)
Lineage: Eukaryota; Viridiplantae; Streptophyta; Magnoliopsida; Fabales; Fabaceae
Exons: 2
Source: RefSeq, a predicted model, not a curated record
CUCUCUCUGUUUUUUUUUUUUUUGUGUAUUUUCUUUUCUCCUUAUUUCUUGUUCUUUCUCUCUCUGUUUUCUUUUCUUCUGCAAAGAUCCAAUUGCACCUUGGGUGCCUCUGCUAGUCCUUGAAUUCUCUAAUCUCUGUUCCCAAUUACACUUAAUCCAUGAAAAGAUCAAGUGAGUUUGGGAUCAGAAAUUAGAGAUAUCAAUACUUGCAACUAGAACUGAUGAGUGGUCCGAUAACGAAACCUGAUAACAGGUGGUCCAAAGAAUCGUGAAGAGGCUAUACCAUAUUAGAAAUUGUCGUUGGGCCUAACACAACUCCACAAAACCGGCUUGUGAGGUGAGGAUUGCUCCCACUUAUAAACAAAUUAUCAGGCCAACUCCUAACUGAUGUGGGACUCUUAACAAGAUCCAAGUUGAAGAUGAAUUGUAUUAUUGUUAAGCAUAGAAGUUUAUAUUAUCAUUAGAUGUUGAUGUUUUUUGUUUCCAUGACUACCUUGAUCAAUAAGGGAACAUGUCUGCAGUAGUUGUUUUGUUGAUAAAUUUGGUUGAAGAGGAACCUUGUUGUUAAGGGAAAACCUUGAGUUUGUUAUGUUGAAUUCAAAAUUGACAUAUAAAUCCGAUUACCUCAGUAAUAACAUAAUCUUUUCUGUCAAUGGCAUAUCCGGUGUUUUCAUAUAUGAUUUUGUUUACCGUGUUUAUCAGGUGUCUGUAAGAAAUUACAUGAUACACUCGUUCCAUCAUAUAUUCACAUUCAUUCCGAAGAUUACUGGUGAACUGUUCCAUUGUGUCAUUCCAAAGUUAUGAGUUUAACACGUUUCUUUGAAGAUGUUAUUUUCUCAUCAGAUUGAUACAUAGGUUAUGUGCUUCAGAUUGUGUGUAUGUCGAAUGCAAUAAAUUAAGUGUUGCAGAUUGAUAUAAUAUCAGUAUGCUGCAUUAAGAGAUAUGGCCGUGAAGAAGAUUGGGACAAUGGUAUUGCCAACAAGUGCAAAAUUGUAGAGUACUGUUUAGCAGUGUGACCGUGUUCUUUAUAUAAGUGCAGUGCAGCAACGUUAUGCAGCUUCAGGUACACACUGGUUUUGAGCUUCAAGCUGACUCUGUGAAAGAGGUUAUGGUGGUGUCAGUAGAAUAAAGUGUUGUAGAUUGAUAUAAAUGUUAAAAUGUUGCAUGAAGAUGAACGGAUAAGGUUGUGAAGAAGAUUGAGACAAUGGUACUGUGAAAGGAAGUUUGGAAAGUAUUGCUUGGGAUACCGGCAAAAUUGAAGACUAUUUAGAGAUGCAUCCAUGUUCUUACAUGGACGCGGUAGAGUUAUGCAAGUUUAGGUAUAAAAAUUGGUUUCAAGCUUUUAGCUUUCUUCCUAAAGCUGCAAAAGAGACUGUGCUUUUAGUAUGGUAUAACAUGGUUAGGUGAUGGCGUGAUUUGGAAAGAGACUGUACUUUCUGGAUUUUAUUCUUAAGAAUACAUGUGAGUUGUUCUUUUAAAGAUGUGAUUUUUCUCAGAACCGUGAUCACAUGUUAGCAGAACGCGAUAAAGUGUUGCAUAUUGAUAUAAUGCUAUAUGCUGCAUAAUGGGAUAAUGUUGUGAAGAA